UGUAAUAGUAUAAUUGUGCUCUUGGUCC
Molecule: non-coding RNA, 28 nt
Filed under: Bombyx mori (domestic silkworm)
Lineage: Eukaryota; Metazoa; Arthropoda; Insecta; Lepidoptera; Bombycidae
Source: RNAcentral